UACGGAGGGAGCUAGCGUUGUUCGGAAUUACUGGGCGUAAAGCGUGCGCAGGCGGUUCGUUAAGUCAGAUGUGAAAGCCCCGGGCUCAACCUGGGAACUGCAUUUGAAACUGGCGGGCUUGAGUGUGGCAGAGGGGGGUGGAAUUCCGCGUGUAGCAGUGAAAUGCGUAGAGAUGCGGAGGAACACCGAUGGCGAAGGCAGCCCCCUGGGCCAACACUGACGCUCAGGCACGAAAGCGUGGGGAGCAAACAGG
Molecule: ribosomal RNA, 253 nt
Filed under: uncultured bacterium
Lineage: Bacteria
Description: partial 16S ribosomal RNA
Rfam family: Bacterial small subunit ribosomal RNA
Source: RNAcentral